Molecule: ribosomal RNA, 154 nt
Filed under: Rhodnius prolixus
Lineage: Eukaryota; Metazoa; Arthropoda; Insecta; Hemiptera; Reduviidae
Description: eukaryotic large subunit ribosomal RNA
Rfam family: Eukaryotic large subunit ribosomal RNA
Source: Rfam by way of RNAcentral
CGUAGACGCCGUAGGGAAAUUCGGAGAGAGUUGUCUCUUCUCUAUAAGCGUUCGAGUUCCCUGGAAACCUCUAGCAGGGAGAUAGGGUUUGGAACGCGAAGAGCACCGCAGUUACGGCGGUGUCCGGAUCUUCCCUACGGACCUUGAAAAUCCG